AGCUGAGUAGGAGAAUAAAGCUGAGUGCAUCUGGGCCAGGCUAACCGGCAAAUCUCUUAAUUACUUGGCAGUUUGCACUCGUCGUCGCUUUCGAUGGCAACAGGUGCUCUCGGUCGGCGCGUUAUUAACUCAUUAUAAAAGCAUUUCAGAGCAGUUCGAUUUGCUUUUGCUGAAAAGCAUUUCAAUUGCCUCCGACACUCGCACAUUUCGAAAUGCGUGCUUUUGCUGCUGCUGCUGUUGUUGUUGCUGCUGUUGCUGUUGUUGCUGUUGUUGCUGUUGCUGCUGUUGCUGCCCCUGAUGUUGCUGCCGUGUCCGGCUGCUGCGACCUUCACUUGCUCUGCCAGCGGAAAGGGUGACUCAAGCGGGCAAACGGAAAAUAUUGUUUCCCUUACACACCAUAUUGACCAAUAAUUUACGACGGUUUUUAAACAAUUCUAAUUAUCACUUAGUCACUAGGCCAUUAAAGCAUUUCAAUCUAAAAUUUCAAUAAAAAAAUUUCAUAACUGAAAUCAAUCUGAUGAAGAUCAAUUUAAUAUCUUGUGAUAAAAAAAAAUAUUUUCUAAUUAAAAUAAGUACUUAGGGUAGUAAAGAUUGUACAUUUAUAAAAACUAUUACUAUUACUAAAAUACAAGAAGCUUUUUAACUUAUUUCCAGUAAUGCAAAGAUUAUGUCUCCUAAUUUUUAAUCCUAAAAUAUAGAAAUCAUAUAAAAGUUCCUUAUUCAAAUUAAUCUUUGCACUGACUCACCCCCGUAGAAUAUUUCUCGAGACCCCUCGUCUUGAGAUCUUGUGCUGCUGCUUCUUGCAGCCUGCCUGCCUUAUACAAACACUUUUUGAGAUGCAAAUUUAAUUUGCUAAAUGAUUUUGCCGGGACGGGCGGAUAUCUGGGAAACUUGUUUUGCUGAGUGUGAUUCUACAUGUGCGCUGGCAGAUGCAAAUGUCACAAAAGUCAGCCUUGUCACGCCGAUUGGAUGGAAUUAGCUGGGCUUGGACUCUAACGGAAGGCCAUAGAGUAACCUUAAUCGCAAAGACUGUGAAUAAUUCCGGGAAUUAACUGCCGAAGGAAACUCAACCGCAGAGGCUCCAGUAACGCAUCGAUACUUCCGCAGCAAAACGAAUAAAAUUAAAUUAAAAUAAAGUUCCAACACAAAUGUUGGUUCCCACCAACAUUCUCAGACA
Molecule: long non-coding RNA, 1177 nt
Organism: Drosophila rhopaloa
Lineage: Eukaryota; Metazoa; Arthropoda; Insecta; Diptera; Drosophilidae
Exons: 2
Source: RefSeq, a predicted model, not a curated record